Micropterus salmoides (largemouth bass) is the source of this 1024-nucleotide long non-coding RNA. RefSeq lists it as uncharacterized. NCBI's taxonomy places the organism in Eukaryota, Metazoa, Chordata, Actinopteri, Centrarchiformes, Centrarchidae. The record is from RefSeq and is a predicted model, not a curated record. The transcript has 4 exons.
CUGUCUGCUGUCUUUAUUAGUAUCACCUGUUUGUGCUCCCGCCCUCCUCGUUAGCCAGUGCUUAAAUGUGUGUGACUUCUGUUCAGCUGUUGCUGGUUUGUUGUAUGUUCAUCCACUGCUGUGUGUCCUGCUUGCCUGCCUCUGCUACUUUGUUUGUUGGAUUAUCCUUUUGUUCUGUCUUCCCCUGGAUCAUUUGUUUAUGGACUGUGUUUUUGCUGCUCUGUUGAUGACCUUGGUUUGGACUCUGCUCCCUCUCCACACCACCUCCUGCUCAUCAGAUCCAGAGCAUUUCCUUCAUCUCUUCAUCACCACCACCAGUGUCUAAACCCCAUCGGGGGGUCUCUACAUCACUACGGCUUCACCAACCCCUUUAAAUACCACGUCAUCGCAAUGGGUGUGAAAUGACAUUUACCUCUAGUUAAUCGUAUCCAGUGCCCGGGUUGAGUUCAUCAGAGUCCACUCCUCAUCACAUCCAGUGUGUGCAGGUAAUGGAGAACAGGUGGGCACACUGGAUUGGUCCUGCAGAGCUGAUUGCUACCUCCUGAUUGGUCAACUGUAUGACAGCAGCCAUCUUAAACCCCACUGACAGGAACUCCCCUCUCUCUCUGCCAUUCCCAACCUGAGCCUGUGUACUGUGUGUUAUAUCUGUGUUAGUUGUGAGUAGAGAACUGUUGUGACCAUACGAGACUUUUUAAGUGAACCUGUGUAGUGAACACAUUGAACUUUGAAUAGCUUAGCUUUGGAAUUCUGAUUAUUGUCGUUGACAACCUUGUUUUGUUGCUUUCGCCAUUUUGUUUGUUACACAGAUUGUCUUUGUUGGAGCUGUGUUUUGUGAGGUAUUAGCAGUUUAGUAGGAGUUUUGAAGCCCUUUUUGUUUGCACCAUCUUUCUCCUGUAUUUGAUAAUAGAAGUCUAGUUUAGAGCUUUGUCUUUUAUUUACUUUUGUUUUUGGGUUAGGAAAGUUUUAGGUUCUUAUGUUUUGGGCACGGCUCAUCUCUGAAGCAAAUAAAAACUGCUAAAUUGUA